RNAcentral lists this ribosomal RNA (720 nucleotides) under uncultured bacterium. RNAcentral describes it as "bacterial SSU rRNA". It matches the Rfam family "Bacterial small subunit ribosomal RNA", at positions 57 to 773 of the family's 1533-position model. The record is from RNAcentral.
GCAGUCGAGCGGUAGAGAGAAGCUUGCUUCUCUUGAGAGCGGCGGACGGGUGAGUAAUGCCUAGGAAUCUGCCUGGUAGUGGGGGAUAACGUUCGGAAACGGACGCUAAUACCGCAUACGUCCUACGGGAGAAAGCAGGGGACCUUCGGGCCUUGCGCUAUCAGAUGAGCCUAGGUCGGAUUAGCUAGUUGGUGGGGUAAUGGCUCACCAAGGCGACGAUCCGUAACUGGUCUGAGAGGAUGAUCAGUCACACUGGAACUGAGACACGGUCCAGACUCCUACGGGAGGCAGCAGUGGGGAAUAUUGGACAAUGGGCGAAAGCCUGAUCCAGCCAUGCCGCGUGUGUGAAGAAGGUCUUCGGAUUGUAAAGCACUUUAAGUUGGGAGGAAGGGUUGUAGAUUAAUACUCUGCAAUUUUGACGUUACCGACAGAAUAAGCACCGGCUAACUCUGUGCCAGCAGCCGCGGUAAUACAGAGGGUGCAAGCGUUAAUCGGAAUUACUGGGCGUAAAGCGCGCGUAGGUGGUUUGUUAAGUUGGAUGUGAAAUCCCCGGGCUCAACCUGGGAACUGCAUUCAAAACUGACUGACUAGAGUAUGGUAGAGGGUGGUGGAAUUUCCUGUGUAGCGGUGAAAUGCGUAGAUAUAGGAAGGAACACCAGUGGCGAAAGCGACCACCUGGACUAAUACUGACACUGAGGUGCGAAAGCGUGGGGAGCAAAC